AAGAUCCUGACAACAACACAAUGAGAGCUGCACUCCUUGCAAGUCUUUACCAGCAGCUGUUGCUUCAGUUCUCUGGAAAUUCUUUAAACCUAGAAUCAGAUACAAAAACUGAACUCUGGGUCCAUAAUCUUCAUUUGUCCUUGAAGUAUGAGGCUGGUGGCAAGAGUAACUGUGUUUCUGACCUUUGGGACUAUAAUUGAUGCUAAGACCACUCAGCCCACCUCCAUGGAUUGCGCUGAAGGAAGAGCUGCAAACCUGCCUUGUAAUCACUCUACCAUCGGUGGAAAUGAGUACAUACAUUGGUAUCGACAGAUUCACUCCCAGGGGCCACAGUAUGUCAUUCAUGGUCUAAAAAACAAUGAGACCAAUGCAAUGGCCUCUCUGAUCAUCACAGAAGACAGAAAGUCCAGCACCUUGAUCCUGCCCCACGUGACGCUGAGAGACACUGCUGUGUACUAUUGCAUCGUGAGAGUCGCACAUUGGGACAGAUGGGGCUGCACCUGUGCAAUAUCUCCCUGGUGGCAAGUGAGGAGGAGGGUAGCAUUCAUCUAGAGCAAAA
Molecule: non-coding RNA, 559 nt
Organism: Cercocebus atys (sooty mangabey)
Lineage: Eukaryota; Metazoa; Chordata; Mammalia; Primates; Cercopithecidae
Source: the annotation of a RefSeq genome assembly